AGAGUUUGAUCCUGGCUCAGGAUGAACGCUGGCGGCGUGCUUAACACAUGCAAGUCGAACGGACCCAUAUUGAAACCUAGUGAUAUAUGGGUUAGUGGCGGACGGGUGAGUAACGCUGGGCAACCUGCCUUACACAGGGGGAUAACACUUAGAAAUAGGUGCUAAAACCGCAUAAGCGCACAGCUUCGCAUGAAGCGGUGUGAAAAACUCCGGUGGUGUAAGAUGGACCCGCGUCUGAUUAGCUUGUUGCGGGGUAACGGCCCACCAAGGCGACGAUCAGUAGCCGGCCUGAGAGGGCGGACGGCCACAUUGGGACUGAGACACGGCCCAGACUCCUACGGGAGGCAGCAGUGGGGAAUAUUGCACAAUGGGGGGAACCCUGAUGCAGCAAUGCCGCGUGAAGGAUGAAGGUUUUCGGAUUGUAAACUUCUUUUGUACGGGACGAAGAAAGUGACGGUACCGUAAGAAUAAGCCACGGCUAACUACGUG
This 489-nucleotide ribosomal RNA is filed under the name uncultured Eubacteriales bacterium. RNAcentral's name for it is "bacterial SSU rRNA". It matches the Rfam family "Bacterial small subunit ribosomal RNA", at positions 8 to 507 of the family's 1533-position model. Lineage: Bacteria; Bacillati; Bacillota; Clostridia; Eubacteriales. The record is from RNAcentral.